RNAcentral lists this ribosomal RNA (169 nucleotides) under uncultured rumen bacterium. RNAcentral's name for it is "partial 16S ribosomal RNA". It matches the Rfam family "Bacterial small subunit ribosomal RNA", at positions 338 to 524 of the family's 1533-position model. The record is from RNAcentral.
CCUACGGGAGGCAGCAGUAGGGAAUAUUGCACAAUGGGGGAAACCCUGAUGCAGCGACGCCGCGUGAAGGAUGAAGUAUUUCGGUAUGUAAACUUCUAUCAGCAAGGAAGAAAAUGACAGUACUCGACUAAGAAGCCCCGGCUAAAUACGUGCCAGCAGCCGCGGUAAU